This is a long non-coding RNA of Mytilus trossulus (common blue mussel), 1902 nucleotides long. RefSeq lists it as uncharacterized. The record is from RefSeq and is a predicted model, not a curated record. The transcript is spliced from 3 exons. Lineage: Eukaryota; Metazoa; Mollusca; Bivalvia; Mytilida; Mytilidae.
UGAUUCUGAUUUUACAAAUGCUGAUGACUUUUGACUUCAAAGAUACGCAUUGUCACUAAGAACAAGAUCAUCAACAAUAUAAAAGUUCGAUAUAUCUGUAGGAGUGGGUUCUAUGACGGCAUAGCUUUAUCACUUAUAAGGACAGAUACGUCUUCGGUUUAGCUUCAAACGGGACUUUUCUAUACAGAAUAUAAAAAAACUUCAAAACUUUUUAAGAUACUCUUCAAACAAUGAAUACAGUAAAGAACGUUGGAAUUGUAACAGUCUUCUUAGCAUUAUUAGUUCAUAUUAGUCAAGGCAGAAAUAUACAGCUAGACUGUCUAGAAUUAUGUGCUGAAGGGAUAAAUCCAUUGAAAUAUAAUAUGGACUGUGACUGUUUCAAUUCUAGCCCAUUCCAAUUCGUUAAACGCACAGUUAAACUUCCAUUCAGAUAUGGUAAACGAAGUUUUAUGGGAUAUCCUUCAGGAUUACAACAAUAUUUCAGAAACGGAUACGGGGUAAAGUCUUAUGAUUCCAAUCCAUUCCUGUCAAAAGAAGCAUACGGAGACUACUGAUUGGUUACUUCAGCUGACCUCUAGUCACAUGGUUUUGAAGCCAGUUUGUGACACGAUUUAAAUUUUAAAUCGUUUAAAACGAACAUUAAGUGCCUGAAACAUAUAAUUUUAAUAGAAGUUAAAUUCAGUGCGCUAGAAUAUUUCGAUCUUUUAAUUACUUUUUACUAUUGACUUAUUCCCAUGUUUUAUUUGAUUGUAUACCCUCUGGUUUAUUUUUCCGUCCUAAACAUGUUUAAGUAAAUAAAGUAUUCUUGUAAAGUUUGACCUUCUGACACAACAAAUUUGCAUAAUACAUAUAUAUAUAUACCAAAUAGACCAACAACAGAAAUUUGGAAUGUUUUUUGUGGUCGGCAAUGUUAUCUCUCGUAGAGGUACAUUGAUUAUGCUUAUUUGUAAGAUAUAUUACAUAUUUCCUUUUGAAUUGCUAAGGCGAUUGUCUUGAUAAUCCAUGAAUUUUGUAUUGCAUAUUAACGGAAUGUUUAAUUUUGAUUUAACAUGUAUGUGAAUAUAUCAUGUCUGUGCAACUAGCCAAAUAGUAUAUGAUAGAUAAAUAUUUGAAAAAUCAACAGCAACAAAAGCCGAAUUUACCACUCCACAGCAAAAAAAAAUUUUAACAAUAUUUUCACAGCAACAUUUUACCAAAAUCACCGUGUAAUCGUCGUUUGAACCGGGGGAUGAUUGGUUGUCUGUAUAUAUUCAGUGAAAAUAGAAAAAAUAGCCUCACAAGCACAUUAAGCAAGUUUAGACUUACUUGUGAAGAGACUACCUUUUAUUUGAAUCAUUAAUUUGAGGUUUUGACAUUCAAACUAAUCAUUAUUUAAAUAACUUAAAUUUCACAUCACAACAAGUAAAGAAACUUCCGUUUUUAGGAAAUGGAAUGCAUUUUACAGUUAAUUGGAUCAAUGCAUAUUGGAUGAAUAAGUGGAAAAUAUUUUUAUGCUUACCGCUUCUGAAACAGAAUUUAAAGUCGAGAAUGAUGAAUAAGAAGUACUAGUUUGUCAGUUACGACUAAUCAUUUUGGCCUACAACGUUGACAGAAUACCUUUCUGUUAAAUAGUCAAAUGCUUACUAGAACUAUCAUAUACACUGAUAUAUCUUUUCAAACUUAAUUUAUGUAAAUCGCAUAUUUAAAUAAUCUGGAUUUAAUCUUCAAAAUUAAGUCAACUUAAAUGUUCUUUUUGUCCAUCGUAUUGCGCACAAAAAUGUUAUAUAUAAUCAUUGUUUACAUUCUUCAUUCAGAUGGACAUGCUUUACAUAUCAUAUGGGUUGUCUUUGAAAUAUUUGACAAAGAAUAUUUAAGUUUUCUUUAUUGUCAGGUUUCUGUUUUCAAUAAAACUAUGUAUCUGUG